UUGUAUGUUUACAAGAGCGUACGGUGGAUGCCUUGGCACUAAGAGCCGAAGAAGGACGUUGUAACCUGCGAAAUGCCUCGGGAAGUUGGUAAACGAACUGUGAUCCGAGGGUGUCCGAAUGGGGAAACCUGGCCAGAGUCAUGUCUGGUUACCGCCGCCUGAAUAUAUAGGGCGUCGGAGGUAACGAGGGGAAGUGAAACAUCUCAGUACCCUCAGGAAAAGAUAUUCCGUUAGUAGUGGCGAGCGAAAGCGGAUCAGGCCAAACCGGUUGUGUGUGAUAGCUGACAGGCGUUGCGCAGCCGGGGUAGUGGGACAUAUUCGACCUCCUCUGUCAGGGAGGUGCGGAGUAAGAAAGUUGUUGUGUAGUCGAACGAUCUGGGAAGGUCGGCCAUAGCGGGUGAUAGCCCCGUAGACGAAACGCGACAACCUCCGUUGAAUGUGCACCCAAGUAGCACGGGGCCCGUGAAAUCCCGUGUGAAUCUGCCACGACCACGUGGUAAGCCUAAAUACUACUUAGUGACCGAUAGCGAAUAGUACCGUGAGGGAAUGGUGAAAAGUACCCCGGGAGGGGAGUGAAAUAGUACCUGAAACCGUGCGCUUACAAUCCGUUGGAGCCUUCCUCCCGCUUGCGGGAGUGCGGGGUGACAGCGUGCCUUUUGAAGAAUGAGCCUGCGAGUUAUGGUACGUGGCGAGGUUAACCCGAGUGGGGAAGCCGUAGCGAAAGCGAGUCUGAAUAGGGCGAAUGAGUCGCGUGCUGUAGACCCGAAGCGUAGUGAUCUAUCCAUGGGCAGGUUGAAGCGCGGGUAAGACCGCGUGGAGGACCGAACCCACCUCAGUUGAAAAUGGGGGGGAUGACCUGUGGAUAGGGGUGAAAGGCCAAUCAAACUACGUGAUAGCUGGUUCUCCCCGAAAUGCAUUUAGGUGCAGCGUCUUGUGUUUCUUACUGGAGGUAGAGCUACUGGAUGGCCGAUGGGCCCAACCCGGUUACUGACGUCAGCCAAACUCCGAAUGCCAGUAAGUGAGAACAAGGCAGUGAGACUGUGGGGGAUAAGCUUCAUAGUCGAAAGGGAAACAGCCCAGAUCAUCAGCUAAGGCCCCUAAGCGUGUACUAAGUGGGAAAGGAUGUGGAGUUGCACAGACAACCAGGAGGUUGGCUUAGAAGCAGCCACCCUUGAAAGAGUGCGUAAUAGCUCACUGGUCAAGUGAUUCCGCGCCGACAAUGUAGCGGGGCUCAAGUACACCGCCGAAGCUGUGGCAAUGCAACGUUAGUCCUAACGGAUGUUGUGUUGGGUAGGGGAGCGUCGUAUGGCGAGAGAAGCUGCCGGGUAACCGAGUGGUGGACGCUAUACGAGUGAGAAUGCAGGCAUGAGUAGCGAAAGACGGGUGAGAAACCCGUCCGCCGAAUGACCAAGGGUUCCAGGGCCAGGUUAAUCCGCCCUGGGUUAGUCGGGACCUAAGGCGAGGCCGACAGGCGUAGUCGAUGGACAAGGAGUUGAUAUUCUCCUACCGGCGAAGUAUCGCCCCGACCGAACGAGAUGAUGCUAAGAACCGAUUCACCGGACUGCCUUCCUUCGGGUUGGCGGAUCGAUUGAAUCGCUUCGAACCGACUCUCCAGUAGGUGAGCGUAUUAACAGGAGUGACGCAGUAUGGUAGCUUCCGCGGACCUAAUGGCUUGGUCCGUCCAAACGCGCAGGAUGUCAGAUAGGCAAAUCCGUCUGACGCAAGUCCGAGGCGUGAUGGUGACACCGAAUGGUGGAAGCAGAGUGAUCCUAGGCUGCCGAGAAAAGCUUCGACGCGAGAUACUAGCCGCCCGUACCCUAAACCGACUCAGGUGGUCAGGUAGAGAAUACUAAGGCGAUCGAGAUAAUCAUGGUUAAGGAACUCGGCAAAAUGCCCCCGUAACUUCGGGAGAAGGGGGGCCUUGAUCCUGAAGCUCUUCACGAGCUAGGGAGAGAGGCCGCAGAGACCAGAGAGAAGCGACUGUUUACUAAAAACACAGGUCCGUGCUAACACGUAAGUGGAUGUAUACGGACUGACGCCUGCCCGGUGCUGGAAGGUUAAGAGGAUCGGUCAAUCAACCUUGUGUUGGUGAAGCUGAAAAUUUAAGCCCCAGUAAACGGCGGUGGUAACUAUAACCAUCCUAAGGUAGCGAAAUUCCUUGUCGGGUAAGUUCCGACCUGCACGAAUGGCGUAACGACUUCUCUACUGUCUCAACCAUGAACUCGGCGAAAUUGCAUUACGAGUAAAGAUGCUCGUUACGCGCAGCAGGACGGAAAGACCCCGGGACCUUUACUAUAGCUUGGUAUUGGUGCUCGCUACGGUUUGUGUAGGAUAGGUGGGAGACUGUGAAGCAGGUACGCCAGUACUUGUGGAGUCAACGUUGAAAUACCACUCUGAUCGUAGUGCGCAUCUAACCUCGGUCCGUAAUCCGGAUCAGGGACAGUGCCUGGUGGGUAGUUUAACUGGGGCGGUUGCCUCCUAAAGAGUAACGGAGGCGCUCAAAGGUUCCCUCAAUCUGGUUGGCAAUCAGAUGAUGAGUGUAAGUGCACAAGGGAGCUUGACUGCGAGACUGACAGGUCGAGCAGGGACGAAAGUCGGAACUAGUGAUCCGGCACCACCGAGUGGAAGGGGUGUCGCUCAACGGAUAAAAGGUACCCCGGGGAUAACAGGCUGAUCUUGCCCAAGAGUCCAUAUCGACGGCAUGGUUUGGCACCUCGAUGUCGGCUCGUCGCAUCCUGGGGCUGGAGUAGGUCCCAAGGGUUGGGCUGUUCGCCCAUUAAAGCGGUACGCGAGCUGGGUUUAGAACGUCGUGAGACAGUUCGGUCCCUAUCCGCUGCGCGCGUAGGAAGUUUGAGAAGGGCUAUCCCUAGUACGAGAGGACCGGGAUGGACGAACCUCUGGUAUGCCAGUUGUCCUGCCAAGGGCACGGCUGGUUAGCUACGUUCGGAACGGAUAACCGCUGAAAGCAUCUAAGCGGGAAGCCAGCUUCAAGAUGAGACUUCCAGUCACAUUAGUGGCGAAGGCCCCCUGUAGACCACGGGGUUGAUAGGCCGGAAGUGGAAGUGUGGUAACACAUGCAGCUGACCGGUACUAAUGGCCGACAACAUAUACAAAA
This is a ribosomal RNA of Ruaniaceae bacterium KH17, 3115 nucleotides long. It matches the Rfam family "Bacterial large subunit ribosomal RNA". NCBI's taxonomy places the organism in Bacteria, Bacillati, Actinomycetota, Actinomycetes, Micrococcales, Ruaniaceae. The record is from Rfam.